This 77-nucleotide transfer RNA is filed under the name Mycobacteroides abscessus subsp. massiliense. RNAcentral's name for it is "tRNA-His(gtg)". It matches the Rfam family "tRNA". Rfam says of the family: Transfer RNA (tRNA) molecules are approximately 80 nucleotides in length. Their secondary structure includes four short double-helical elements and three loops (D, anti-codon, and T loops). The record is from RNAcentral. Lineage: Bacteria; Bacillati; Actinomycetota; Actinomycetes; Mycobacteriales; Mycobacteriaceae.
GCGGCGGUAGCUCAAUUGGCAGAGCACCUGGUUGUGAUCCAGGAGGUUGUAGGGUUCGAUUCCCACCCGUCGCCCCA